CGGGGGCUGCGGGGUGGCGGAUGUCAGUGUGCGGCCGUAGGCUGGACCGCGGGUGUUUGCUGUUGCGGAGAUCCACCGAGGACGGAGACGGACCGAAGUGCGCAUGCCUGGCUCCCUGUAUGCCGCCCGCG
Non-coding RNA from Brachypodium distachyon (stiff brome), 131 nucleotides. NCBI's taxonomy places the organism in Eukaryota, Viridiplantae, Streptophyta, Magnoliopsida, Poales, Poaceae. The record is from RefSeq and is marked provisional.